This 809-nucleotide ribosomal RNA is filed under the name uncultured bacterium. Its description in RNAcentral is "bacterial SSU rRNA". The stretch from base 25 to 663 matches the Rfam family "Bacterial small subunit ribosomal RNA". The record is from RNAcentral.
GAUCAACUCGGUACUCCGAAUGCUCUAGAUUAGACGUUUGAUCAUGGCUCAGANUGAACGCUGGCGGCAAGCCUAACACAUGCAAGUCGAACGGUAACAGGAAGCAGCUUGCUGCUUCGCUGACGAGUGGCGGACGGGUGAGUAAUGUCUGGGAAACUGCCUGAUGGAGGGGGAUAACUACUGGAAACGGUAGCUAAUACCGCAUAACGUCGCAAGACCAAAGAGGGGGACCUUCGGGCCUCUUGCCAUCGGAUGUGCCCAGAUGGGAUUAGCUAGUAGUGGGGUAACGGCUCACCUAGGCGACGAUCCCUAGCUGGUCUGAGAGGAUGACCAGCCACACUGGAACUGAGACACGGUCCAGACUCCUACGGGAGGCAGCAGUGGGGAAUAUUGCACAAUGGGCGCAAGCCUGAUGCAGCCAUGCCGCGUGUAUGAAGAAGGCCUUCGGGUUGUAAAGUACUUUCAGCGGGGAGGAAGGCGAUAAGGUUAAUAACCUUGUCGAUUGACGUUACCCGCAGAAGAAGCACCGGCUAACUCCGUGCCAGCAGCCGCGGUAAUACGGAGGGUGCAAGCGUUAUCCGGAAUUACUGGGGNGUAAAGAGGCAGCAAGGGGGGCUGNNCAAGUNCGGNUUUGUAAAAUACCCCCGGGGGNUCAAAACCUGUGGAAACNCUGCGUUUUCCAAAAACNNUGGCGAGGGCAUAAAAGCCUUNUGUAGAAGGGGGGGGGACACAUCCCGGAGGUUACCCGGGGAAAAACUGUAAGAACUNUGGGANAACACGGGAAAANGGCCUUAAAAANAUCACACAUC